GACGAACGCUGGCGGCGUGCUUAACACAUGCAAGUCGAACGGAAAGGCCCUGCUUUUGUGGGGUGCUCGAGUGGCGAACGGGUGAGUAACACGUGAGUAACCUGCCCUUGACUUUGGGAUAACUUCAGGAAACUGGGGCUAAUACCGGAUAGGAGCUCCUGCUGCAUGGUGGGGGUUGGAAAGUUUCGGCGGUUGGGGAUGGACUCGCGGCUUAUCAGCUUGUUGGUGGGGUAGUGGCUUACCAAGGCUUUGACGGGUAGCCGGCCUGAGAGGGUGACCGGCAACAUUGGGACUGAGAUACGGCCCAGACUCCUACGGGAGGCAGAAGUGGGGAAUAUUGCACAAUGGGCGGAAGCCUGAGGCAGCAACGCCGCGUGCGGGAUGACGGCCUUCGGGUUGUAAACCGCUUUCGCCUGUGACGAAGCGUGAGUGACGGUAAUGGGUAAAGAAGCACCGGCUAACUACGUG
This 468-nucleotide ribosomal RNA is filed under the name uncultured bacterium. Its description in RNAcentral is "partial 16S ribosomal RNA". It matches the Rfam family "Bacterial small subunit ribosomal RNA", at positions 28 to 507 of the family's 1533-position model. The record is from RNAcentral.